This 253-nucleotide ribosomal RNA is filed under the name uncultured bacterium. RNAcentral's name for it is "partial 16S ribosomal RNA". It matches the Rfam family "Bacterial small subunit ribosomal RNA", at positions 524 to 776 of the family's 1533-position model. The record is from RNAcentral.
UACGUAGGGUGCGAGCGUUGUCCGGAAUUAUUGGGCGUAAAGGGCUCGUAGGCGGUCUGUCACGUCGGGAGUGAAAACUCAGGGCUUAACCCUGAGCCUGCUUCCGAUACGGGCAGACUAGAGGUAUGCAGGGGAGAACGGAAUUCCUGGUGUAGCGGUGAAAUGCGCAGAUAUCAGGAGGAACUCCGGUGGCGAAGGCGGGAUCCUGGGCCAGUACUGACGCUGAGGAGCGAAAGCGUGGGGAGCAAACAGG